CUAAGCAUGCUCGGUGAAAAAGCUUUUCUCCUUUUGCCUGUCAAGCCCUAUGUUUGAACUCAUUCCAGAAUGCUGGAUUUACUUUUCACGAAGAAACUGUACCUGGCUGGACUGCAUUUUUCUUUCCCUCCUUAGGCACCGGAACACUGGAAACAGUAUUCUUCAGAGCACUCAGUCAUGCAGGGAGUCUGCAUGUGAGUCUGGCAGGGGAGAAGGAGGACAAACUUUGCUACCUGUGAACUGAAGACUUCGUAGGUAGCAGUGGAAAUGAGAACAAUUCUAUUUACGAUAUUGUUCGUGGUCUCCACAAAUGAGUAACUUGAUGACUUCAGCGGGAAUUGCUUGUAAAGAAGAAAAAGGGUCAUCUGGCAUCUUCUGAAGGCAAGUCAGGGCCAGAAGGCUCCAUGAAAGACCUACCCGAGAUAGAAGAAGAGGAUCUCACCUGCUGCCUAUUCUCCAGCGACUCCAUCACACACUGAGGUUCAACUGUGUGUUGGUGACAGAUUGAUAGGGAAGGAAUAAACCACAACACUGUGUUCUAAAGCAACCCAGUGGAACAAAGGGGAGCUACCAAUGGUGGUGAAGUCUCUUCUGCAAACCACACAACAGAAGCUGCUGCCCCAAUUCACAGUUGCUCCUUCCCACUGGCAAAGAGCCUAAGGAGGAGCUGUUAUAGGAAUUUGGGAAAGUCAUUUCAUGUCACCUAGUGAGUUUUAAUGGAGGCUUGAAAGAAGGAGAAAAAAUCCCCACUGUGUCCGCUUGUUGCUUAGGUGCACCACAUUGCCCUCAGUUUGUCUCAUCGCUCCCCGAGACAGUCUGUGUUGUGCCUGCGAAGUGUUGGAGGGGAGGAAGCGCGUGCCCAUCCUCCUUGCCUUUCUCACAGAGGACGGGCACAACACAGUCGCUGAGCACUGAACAUGUUGCCAGAUCUCCUUUUGGCAGCUGUGUGAGAAGGGAAUGCCACCGCAAAGGAAGGAUUACUGAGGCGAGAUUCAAGUUGGAUUCGAAAAGGACAAAAGUGCUGUGCAAUACAUAUACCACCACCUCGACAGGUGGUUCUUCCUGAACAAAGAUUAGCAGACAGAGUACGUGCCUUGAAGAGUUGGGCCUAGCAAGAUGGCAGCGUUCAUUCAAUAAGGAAUCUUGUAAAAUGCUGAUACGGAGAUUGGAUAGAGGAGCAGUGACUUCCAAGACUCUUCUGUCCCAGCAAGCUUUACAGAAAUUGCAGCCAUAUACCCAGUGCAGUCGGGAAGAAGGUUGAAAGGACAAAGAGAAGCAGGUGGGAGAUGCUGAGGAUGAAGUUGUCUGUCUGGGGACAGAGCUGCUGGCCAGAGGUGGGGGCCUUACCCAUGGCUGCAGGGAUCCUGCCAGAGCCAGCUCUCAAGGAUGAAGUGCGGCAAUUCAAGACCAGGGAAGAACCAGUGGAAAGGACGGCUCUCAUUAUCCAAAGCUGCUAAAACUUAUCACUGUUGGAAAAGAGCCUGCACUGCAACGUUAAGUGAUGCAGAAGCACAGACUGGCACCAGGACCAGGGAGACUGGCUGCUGCACUUGCGUCCCGCUGCUAUUUCUGGCAUGCAGAGACUGAGCAGUAUCUGAUGGGCCAACCGGUAUGAGAUGAAGAUAACAAAAGUAAUGUGGACAUAGCAGCUUUCUUCCAAGGACCUCAAACCACUCCAAGGAAAGCUUCUCUCUGCAAACUUCCUCUCACUCCAUUUCUGCAAGGACUUUUCCUGCAAACCAGGUCCCUAAGAAGAUUAGGGAUACCGGUUUAUUUAUACCCACCUCAGCAUGGUAGCAGCCAAAUGUUAUAAGUUGCUGGAUGGUUAGAUGGCCUGUGGCACAUGAAAGAAGCUUCAGUCUUCUGGUGCAGUUCAGAGUGAACAAGUGUCUUCCUCAUAGCUGCUCUGAACUUAUCCCUAAAGCUGAAAUUUGGGGGGUUUUGUCCUUUUUAACCUGUUCGCAUUGGUAAUACAAACAGGUAUGCUCAGGACUGAAAGGGCUGCAGAGCUUUGGCCCGUUUUUAAACAUGAAAACGAUUUUCAGGCCAACAAUUUCAAAUACCUGGUAGUCACGGUGCCAGGUGAUGUUGCCGUUUGUGUUUCCUUCUGUAAUGCCUGGCUUGAAUGAUCCCAAAGCAGCAAGCUCAGUUAAAUCCAUGGCUAUGAUCAAAAGAGAAUGACACCUCUAUCUUUUUUGUGCCCGCCUGGAGAUCCUUAGGUUUUGGAAUUGAGGUCUUUGAAAAACAAGAUUACUGGAGUCUAGUAAAUGAAGUGUCCGGAUGGUAGUGAUGAUUUAUAAAAGCGAUUGAAAAAGGAAAGCGUUUUUCCAGUGAGCGUAAUGUCUUGGUUUGAAGAUAUUCUUAAGUGUGUGUGUAAUGCUGCGAACAGUGGUCAGUGAUUAGUGACUGCUGUGUAUGAGAUUAUGGAUCUGUUUGCAGCAGAACACUUCUUUUCACAGGGUUCUGAUGACCGAAACCAUUUUAUUUCGUGGUCGAUUCUUUCUUAUUUUGUAUCUGUUUCAAAAUAAUUCCCAUCUCUUCCUUCUUCUUAGACUUGUAGAAAAGGCCAGGUUGGAUGGGCCUUGGGCAGCCUGAUCUAGUGGGACAUGUUGCUGCCCAUGGCAGGGGGGCUGGAACUAGAUGAUUUUUAAGGUCCCUUCCAACCCAAACUAUUUUAUCAUUCUAUGAGAAAAUCUACUGAGGAGUCAAUAUUUUCCAUGGGGAAAUGUGGUUUUUUGCAAUGUAAAUAUUGGAGAUGGCAGAUAAUUGAAAUACAUCAAAUACAGGGGGUUUUUUUCUCCACCAGUUCUACUCUCU
This is a long non-coding RNA of Cuculus canorus (common cuckoo), 2817 nucleotides long. RefSeq lists it as uncharacterized. The record is from RefSeq and is a predicted model, not a curated record. The transcript is spliced from 16 exons. Lineage: Eukaryota; Metazoa; Chordata; Aves; Cuculiformes; Cuculidae.